AUCUUCUUCCGCAACAGUGCUAGCAGCUGCAGAACAUUUGAAAGCUGAAAUCUGCCCGCCGGGAUUCAAUCAACUCUUGAUCAAUCGUCUUGAAGCAGAUAGAGAUGAGGUUUGUAAGGAAAGUAGAGGACUCAGAUCUGAUCUUGAAUCUUCUAGAUAUUCACCCUGAAAACCCUAUCUAAAAUGGAGAAGAAGAGGAGGAGGAGGCGGGUGAGGAAGAAGGCUGCAAUGGAUG
RNAcentral lists this long non-coding RNA (235 nucleotides) under Phoenix dactylifera (date palm). Its description in RNAcentral is "long non-coding RNA (PDAC_LNC009711)". Lineage: Eukaryota; Viridiplantae; Streptophyta; Magnoliopsida; Arecales; Arecaceae. The record is from RNAcentral.